UACGGAGGGUGCAAGCAUUGAUCGGAAUUACUGGGCGUAAAGGGCGCGUAGGCGGUCAAAAAAGUCAGAUGUGAAAUUCCGGGGCUCAACCCCGGAGCUGCAUUUGAAACUUUUUGACUUGAGUGCAACUAGGGAAAAUGGAAUUCCACGUGUAGCGGUGAAAUGCGUAGAUAUGUGGAAGAACACCGGUGGUGAAGACGGUUUUCUGGGUUGUAACAGACGCUGAGGCGCGAAAGCUAGGGGAGCAAACAGG
RNAcentral lists this ribosomal RNA (253 nucleotides) under uncultured bacterium. RNAcentral describes it as "partial 16S ribosomal RNA". It matches the Rfam family "Bacterial small subunit ribosomal RNA", at positions 524 to 776 of the family's 1533-position model. The record is from RNAcentral.